CCUACUUAUACAUGAUCUAAAUCAAGUACGUUCAACGACUUAUCACACAUUAAAAUAUUUACAGCUUUAACUUUCGAUCUGUAUAAAAAACAACUCCUAGAAAUAAAUUCCGAGUACGAAGAUCCCUUCACGAGCCAUCCUCAUAUCACCGCUUGUCCAGCAUCAUCGAAUUCAGAAGAAGAAAAAAUGUUUAAUCAGUAUGCCUCCAUUACCAGAAACAGCCUAUUCCUUAAACAAGUUUACAGUGAGGGAGAAUUAACCAGAAACAUAAAACUGAACGUUUGUGAUCAGCCACCAAAACCUCAAUUAGUUUACAAUGAUUCGACAGAUGUUUUUCAGUUCGGUUAUGAGUUAUUUUAUCAAAAGGAUGAGAUAACACUAGAAUGCGACUACUAUGACAAACUCGGGCCAGUUAGAAACGUAGGUAUACAGGUUUUACAAGAGGAACCACUGAAAAAUCCAAAUCCCAACAAAAAGUAUAUAAUAUCAGAAAACGAUGAAAAUAAUACAUUUUUCAAAAUCAAAGCUAAAGAAUGGAGAAAACCAAUGGUA
Molecule: long non-coding RNA, 552 nt
Organism: Planococcus citri (citrus mealybug)
Lineage: Eukaryota; Metazoa; Arthropoda; Insecta; Hemiptera; Pseudococcidae
Exons: 3
Source: RefSeq, a predicted model, not a curated record